GGACGGUUGGCAGAGUCCGGUUGAUUGCAGUGGCUUGCUAAGCCGCCGAACGUCGUUUUGGCGUUCCGCGAGUUCGAAUCUCGCACCGUCCGCGA
RNAcentral lists this transfer RNA (95 nucleotides) under Bifidobacterium longum subsp. longum. RNAcentral's name for it is "tRNA-Ser". It matches the Rfam family "tRNA". Rfam says of the family: Transfer RNA (tRNA) molecules are approximately 80 nucleotides in length. Their secondary structure includes four short double-helical elements and three loops (D, anti-codon, and T loops). RNAcentral also lists the same sequence under 5 other names. The record is from RNAcentral. Lineage: Bacteria; Bacillati; Actinomycetota; Actinomycetes; Bifidobacteriales; Bifidobacteriaceae.